UGAGUAACACGUAUCCAACCUGCCGUCUACUCUUGGACAGCCUUCUGAAAGGAAGAUUAAUACAAGAUGGCAUCAUGAGUCCGCAUGUUCACAUGAUUAAAGGUAUUCCGGUAGACGAUGGGGAUGCGUUCCAUUAGAUAGCAGGCGGGGUAACGGCCCACCUAGUCUUCGAUGGAUAGGGGUUCUGAGAGGAAGGUCCCCCACAUUGGGACUGAGACACGGCCCAA
This 227-nucleotide ribosomal RNA is filed under the name uncultured bacterium. RNAcentral describes it as "partial 16S ribosomal RNA". It matches the Rfam family "Bacterial small subunit ribosomal RNA", at positions 107 to 334 of the family's 1533-position model. The record is from RNAcentral.